Molecule: ribosomal RNA, 719 nt
Filed under: Bacillus cereus
Lineage: Bacteria; Bacillati; Bacillota; Bacilli; Caryophanales; Bacillaceae
Description: bacterial SSU rRNA
Rfam family: Bacterial small subunit ribosomal RNA
Source: RNAcentral
AUACAUGCAAGUCGAGCGAAUGGAUUAAGAGCUUGCUCUUAUGAAGUUAGCGGCGGACGGGUGAGUAACACGUGGGUAACCUGCCCAUAAGACUGGGAUAACUCCGGGAAACCGGGGCUAAUACCGGAUAACAUUUUGAACCGCAUGGUUCGAAAUUGAAAGGCGGCUUCGGCUGUCACUUAUGGAUGGACCCGCGUCGCAUUAGCUAGUUGGUGAGGUAACGGCUCACCAAGGCAACGAUGCGUAGCCGACCUGAGAGGGUGAUCGGCCACACUGGGACUGAGACACGGCCCAGACUCCUACGGGAGGCAGCAGUAGGGAAUCUUCCGCAAUGGACGAAAGUCUGACGGAGCAACGCCGCGUGAGUGAUGAAGGCUUUCGGGUCGUAAAACUCUGUUGUUAGGGAAGAACAAGUGCUAGUUGAAUAAGCUGGCACCUUGACGGUACCUAACCAGAAAGCCACGGCUAACUACGUGCCAGCAGCCGCGGUAAUACGUAGGUGGCAAGCGUUAUCCGGAAUUAUUGGGCGUAAAGCGCGCGCAGGUGGUUUCUUAAGUCUGAUGUGAAAGCCCACGGCUCAACCGUGGAGGGUCAUUGGAAACUGGGAGACUUGAGUGCAGAAGAGGAAAGUGGAAUUCCAUGUGUAGCGGUGAAAUGCGUAGAGAUAUGGAGGAACACCAGUGGCGAAGGCGACUUUCUGGUCUGUAACUGACACUGAG